ACUGGGUUGCUGAGGAAGGUUGUGGAUGCCUCCUCCCUGGGAAUUUUCAGAGCCAGACUGGAUGAGGCCCUGAGCAGUUGACUCUAGUUGAGAGGCAUCCCUGCACAUGGUGGAAAGGUUGGAGUGGAUGAUCUCUAAGCCAGUCUAUGGUUUUAUGAUUUACUACUGGUUUGUCAAAACCUGCUGAUUUCAAGCCUUUCAGCAGUCUAAUCUUGCUUGUAGCUCUUGAUGAAAAGGCAAUGUGUGGGUCCACAAAAUGGCAGAAUAGUUUGAGGCUGUGUCUUGCCAAAGCUCUCACACCAGGUUGUUUGUCACUGUCAUCUAAUUCAUGAACUUAAAAAUCAGACACCUUCCUAAUGUGUUUUUCCUGAUGUGAAUAAAUUCACUACAGAAUACUGGCAGAGAAAGAGAUGCUUGUUGUCAAGCAAUUAUAUCAGAUGAAACAUACAGAAGGAUAAUAUUAUAGUCUGAAAACAUUGUAGCUAAUUUACAGGCGUGAAAACUGAAGAUGAAUUCUGGGAAUUCAGAGAAAAGACAGGGUUUGGGGUUUCUUUUUUUUCUUCUUCUCCUUUCUUCUCCUCUGUAUUUUGCAGUAAUACUUUUGAGUCUGAAAGUUCUCAGCUGAUAAAAAACAUUAUGGCUGAAGGUCUGAAAGAAGACAUUAAAGCUUUUGCCCACUUGUGGCAAUUAUUCUGGAGACAAACACAACUCAGAAGACAAACGUUAUGAGCUACCUCUUGUCUAUGAAAAUUGAGACUGUCACAGAGCCUCAGAAAAGCUCACUUUACCCUGCCCUGAAGAACUGUGGCCACAGUGGUUCAGGUUGAACAGGACGCUUUGAAAAUCACCACUUUCCCAAAGACCUCUGCUAAAAAUGACAUAUUCACCAGCUGAGAAAAGUGUUCUUGCAAAAUCCAAACAAAGCAGCUGAACAUCAAUAUGGCACAGGGCAGAGUCUCCUGUGCAAACUCGCAGUGCCAAUCUAAAUUGUGUUUUACACCACCACUCUGAACACUUUACAAGUGCUGGAAGAUAAAUACUACUGGGAAAUAAACAGUCCCCUUAAUCUUAUCUCCUCUGGGGGCUUUGCUGUUGUCAUUUUUAAUUAAAAAUGAGAUAAUCUCUCUAACGACCAAAGCGUCGCUCCUAGACUUUGGAGGCCUUCUCCUGCCCCUCGGCACCCAGAGCAGCACGGAGAGCAGGUUCUGAGCGCCGCCGCAGCGCGGUCCUUGUCUGCAGUCACCACGGAGAAAACCAUCUGUUCCACUUGGAAAAGGGUUUGGAGCCACACGCCCUCCCCCCGCAUCUCGGCUCCGUCCCCAGCUGCCGUGUUUCGAUGAGCAGCGAGGGAAUGAAUCUCCUGCGUUAAAAAUACUCUGGUUCUAUUUCGAUGAAAAGAAGAAUCUUCCUUGCCUACACUGAGCUACAAAAAUAGUCUCAGUGUGAGUAAAUUGCCAAAGUUGCUCUUGGUGAAAAUAUCCAGCCUCACUUUUUUUUUCUUU
Molecule: long non-coding RNA, 1502 nt
Organism: Dryobates pubescens (Downy woodpecker)
Lineage: Eukaryota; Metazoa; Chordata; Aves; Piciformes; Picidae
Exons: 4
Source: RefSeq, a predicted model, not a curated record